Molecule: ribosomal RNA, 301 nt
Filed under: uncultured bacterium
Lineage: Bacteria
Description: partial 16S ribosomal RNA
Rfam family: Bacterial small subunit ribosomal RNA
Source: RNAcentral
CAGCCGCCGCGGGAAAACGUAGGUGGCAAGCGCUGUCCGGAAUUAUUGGGCGUAAAGGGCUCGCAGGCGGUUUCUUAAGUCUGAUGUGAAAGCCCCCGGCUCAACCGGGGAGGGUCAUUGGAAACUGGGAAACUUGAGUGCAGAAGAGGAGAGUGGAAUUCCACGUGUAGCGGUGGAAUGCGUAGAGAUGUGGAGGAACACCAGUGGCGAAGGCGACUCUCUGGUCUGUAACUGACGCUGAGGAGCGAAAGCGUGGGGAGCGAACAGGAUUAGAUACCCGCGUAGUCCCUGUCUCUUAUAC